UACGUAGGGUGCAAGCGUUAAUCGGAAUUACUGGGCGUAAAGCGUGCGCCGGCGGUCUUGCAAGACAGAUGUGAAAUCCCCGGGCUCAACCUGGGAACUGCAUUUGUGACUGCAAGGCUGGAGUGCGGCAGAGGGGGAUGGAAUUCCGCGUGUAGCAGUGAAAUGCGUAGAUAUGCGGAGGAACACCGAUGGCGAAGGCAAUCCCCUGGGCCUGCACUGACGCUCAUGCACGAAAGCGUGGGGAGCAAACAGG
This 253-nucleotide ribosomal RNA is filed under the name uncultured bacterium. RNAcentral's name for it is "partial 16S ribosomal RNA". It matches the Rfam family "Bacterial small subunit ribosomal RNA", at positions 524 to 776 of the family's 1533-position model. The record is from RNAcentral.